Molecule: ribosomal RNA, 253 nt
Filed under: uncultured bacterium
Lineage: Bacteria
Description: partial 16S ribosomal RNA
Rfam family: Bacterial small subunit ribosomal RNA
Source: RNAcentral
GACGAACCUGACGAACGUUAUUCGGAAUCACUGGGCUUAAAGGGUGCGUAGGCGGUACGGAAAGUUGGGUGUGAAAUCCCUUGGCUUAACCAAGGAAUUGCGCCCAAAACUGCCGUGCUCGAGGGAGAUAGAGGUGAGCGGAACUUAGGGUGGAGUGGUGAAAUGCGUUGAUAUCCUAAGGAACACCGGUGGCGAAAGCGGCUCACUGGAUCUCUUCUGACGCUGAGGCACGAAAUCUAGGGGAGCGAACGGG